Molecule: ribosomal RNA, 390 nt
Filed under: uncultured bacterium
Lineage: Bacteria
Description: bacterial SSU rRNA
Rfam family: Bacterial small subunit ribosomal RNA
Source: RNAcentral
AUUGAACGCUGGCGGCAUGCCUUACACAUGCAAGUCGAACGGCAGCGGACCUUCGGGUGCCGGCGAGUGGCGAACGGGUGAGUAAUAUAUCGGAACGUACCUUUCAGUGGGGGAUAACGUAGCGAAAGUUACGCUAAUACCGCAUAUUCUGUGAGCAGGAAAGCAGGGGAUCGCAAGACCUUGCGCUGAUUGAGCGGCCGAUAUCAGAUUAGCUAGUUGGUGAGGUAAAGGCUCACCAAGGCGACGAUCUGUAGCGGGUCUGAGAGGAUGAUCCGCCACACUGGAACUGAGACACGGUCUAGACUCCUACGGGAGGCAGCAGUGGGGAAUUUUGGACAAUGGGCGCAAGCCUGAUCCAGCCAUGCCGCGUGAGUGAAGAAGGCCUCGGUU